UGUGACAAGGAUGCAGAACCUCUU
This 24-nucleotide non-coding RNA is filed under the name Rattus norvegicus (Norway rat). Lineage: Eukaryota; Metazoa; Chordata; Mammalia; Rodentia; Muridae. The record is from RNAcentral.